CGCGCAGGCGGGUCAAUAAGUCAGAGGUGAAAUCCUACAGCUUAACUGUAGAACUGCCUUUGAUACUGUUGAUCUUGAGUAUGGAAGAGAGAGACGGAAUUCCAGGUGUAGUGGUGAAAUACGUAGAUAUCUGGAAGAACACCAGUUGCGAAGGCGGUCUCUUGGUCCAAUACUGACGCUGAGGCGCGAAAGCGUGGGUAGCAAACA
This 207-nucleotide ribosomal RNA is filed under the name uncultured bacterium. Its description in RNAcentral is "partial 16S ribosomal RNA". It matches the Rfam family "Bacterial small subunit ribosomal RNA", at positions 568 to 774 of the family's 1533-position model. The record is from RNAcentral.